AUUAAACGCUGGCGGCAUGCCUUACACAUGCAAGUCGAACGGCAGCACGGGGGCGACCCUGGUGGCGAGUGGCGGACGGGUGAGUAAAGCAUCGGAACGUGCCCUGGAAUGGGGGAUAACGUAGCGAAAGUUACGCUAAUACCGCAUAUUCUGUGAGCAGGAAAGCAGGGGAUCGCAAGACCUUGCGUUCUGGGAUCGGCCGAUGUCGGAUUAGCUAGUUGGUGGGGUAAAGGCCUACCAAGGCGACGAUCCGUAGCGGGUCUGAGAGGAUGAUCCGCCACACUGGGACUGAGACACGGCCCAGACUCCUACGGGAGGCAGCAGUGGGGAAUUUUGGACAAUGGGCGCAAGCCUGAUCCAGCCAUGCCGCGUGAGUGAAGAAGG
RNAcentral lists this ribosomal RNA (384 nucleotides) under uncultured bacterium. RNAcentral describes it as "bacterial SSU rRNA". It matches the Rfam family "Bacterial small subunit ribosomal RNA", at positions 29 to 414 of the family's 1533-position model. The record is from RNAcentral.